UACAUAGAGAUUAAUACAUGGCCUUUUCCAUAUCAGCCUGGGUAUCAUCCCGAGACCCCCAUAUCAGCCCCAGACGGAGUCGAGGUUCUGAUAUGGGUCGAGGGAUGAUACCCAGGCUGAUAUGGAAAAGGCCAUGUAUUAAACGCUUUAUCAUAUACUUCCGACAAUAGUUUAAUGUAAGGCAAAUAAACUGAUGCAAUAACUAAAACAGUCAAACACUUUAUAAAGACGUCGCGUACGGUGUUGGUGUUAGUUUUGGUAACGUUAUUUUGACGUUAUUUUUCAUGCAUUGUAUAAAUAACGUCGUACUUUUUUUUUAUUUCGUGCAGCUCAAUCAUACAGCAUAAUUUAUAUGAGCGGUUUGCUUGACUUGCUACGUAUAGAACCGAAAUGCAAAAGCGGCACAUAUUUUUUUUAAGUACAGUUAAAUUAAAACGGGAAAAAUAAUAUUCAUUUACAUUAGUAUCCCCUUGGAGCAAAUAUAUUUCUCUUUCUUUUGAUUGAAACAGGAUAUUUAAAAAAAAAAGUUUAAACCACAGUCUUUUUCUGCUGCUUUUUCUUUUAGGUUAAACAUAUUUAUUUAUGGUGGAUUGUGAAACAAGUUAUUACAACUUAUAUUAAUCCGUUUCCAUUUUGAGGGUGCGAGUGCUUCCUUGUAGCCUUAGCCUGCUCUUUUCGAAAUCUAAAAGGGUGACUUUUAUGUGCAAGAGUUAUUUCUCUGAGUCUCUCUUAAUAAAACACGGGUCAGUCAUUUAUCGCCCCCUUCCGACGGACUAUCAUUGUUUCACAAGACCAUCAUACUCGCAAAUGGUGUCAAGGGCUUAUUCUUUUAUCCGCUUUUGAUAAUUUCCGAAUAAAAUGUUUAUUAGUUGAAUCGUUUGUUUCAUCGCCUGUAUUAAAUGUUAAAAGAAUCAACAGUUGAAAGCAAAUUCAAAAUUAAC
RNAcentral lists this long non-coding RNA (941 nucleotides) under Mytilus galloprovincialis (Mediterranean mussel). Lineage: Eukaryota; Metazoa; Mollusca; Bivalvia; Mytilida; Mytilidae. The record is from RNAcentral.